UAAGGUCGCGGCGAGAUUAGCCGGUAUUAAUUAAUAAUAAUAGGUGUUAGGUGGAAGUGCAAUGAUGCAUGUAGCUGAAACAUACUAAUAAUAGAAAGUAAAAAAAGACCAAUAGAAUUAAAC
Molecule: ribosomal RNA, 123 nt
Filed under: Gastrodia uraiensis
Lineage: Eukaryota; Viridiplantae; Streptophyta; Magnoliopsida; Asparagales; Orchidaceae
Description: 4.5S ribosomal RNA
Source: RNAcentral